Molecule: long non-coding RNA, 240 nt
Organism: Drosophila sulfurigaster albostrigata
Lineage: Eukaryota; Metazoa; Arthropoda; Insecta; Diptera; Drosophilidae
Exons: 3
Source: RefSeq, a predicted model, not a curated record
AGUUUUAAAAAAAAAAAGUUAUAUCACUAUCUCUUAAAGUAUCUGAAAUCUAGGUUUCCUUAUGUAUAGGCGGAAGAAUAUCUGGCGGGUAUAACAAUGCACGUUUUUGAGGCACAAUGACAUUUAUACGGUCGCCAGACGAUUCCAUUGCUCUCGACAAUCAAUAUAUUGAAGCAUUGAACAUUUAUGGAAAUAAAUGUGUUGCAAGAAGCUAUUAUGUAUGAAUUUAAAUAAUUUAAA